CUUGGCCUAAUGGACAAGGCGUCGGACUUCUAAUCCGAAGAUUGUGGGCUCGAGUCCCGCAA
RNAcentral lists this transfer RNA (62 nucleotides) under Polarella glacialis. It matches the Rfam family "tRNA", at positions 7 to 64 of the family's 71-position model. From Rfam's summary of the family: Transfer RNA (tRNA) molecules are approximately 80 nucleotides in length. Their secondary structure includes four short double-helical elements and three loops (D, anti-codon, and T loops). The record is from RNAcentral. Lineage: Eukaryota; Dinophyceae; Suessiales; Suessiaceae.